This is a long non-coding RNA of Cyprinus carpio carpio, 2892 nucleotides long. Lineage: Eukaryota; Metazoa; Chordata; Actinopteri; Cypriniformes; Cyprinidae. The record is from Ensembl.
GCUUAAUGUGAGGGAUAAACUAAUUUCUGGAAAAACAGAGCAUGCACAGAGCGAGACUGUUGGGGCUGCUUGUGCGAGGGAAGCGAGACCUCUCUCCCAGCAGGCAGCACCCCAAGAAUGCUCAGAGAAGAGGAAUCAGAGAGCCAUGGCCAGGGCAGAUGUCAAGUAGGCUCAGGGGCCCGACUCUUAACCCCAAGCUGAGGGUUUGUGGACAGAGUUGGGAAGCCAGCAGCAUGCACUCUGGGAAAACAGAGCUGUGUUUUGUCAUUGGACUCCAAUAAUGGGUGAUAACUUCUUUAGCAAAGCUACCGCAUGAGAGCCCCUGUGGGAGCUGAGCCCCUCUGUUAAUGACUUCUUAAUGUUUCCUCACUGAAUGCAUUACAUGCGCUUUCAUGAUCAUUAAAAGGAUUAUACAAUCAUGUAACUAAAUAUUCAGGAUCGUAGAGGUCAAAAUCUGCCAUUUAAAACCACUAUUUUGAAUGAACCCUAAUAUUCACAAAUUGGACUUUUUUAUGUUUUUGAAAGUUUCUUAUACUCACCAAGGCUGUGUUAAUUAAAAAUACAGUAAAACAGUAAAACUGUGAAAUAUUAUUCAAAAUUUAAAAUACCGGUCUUCUUUUUUCGAUUAUUUUUUAACAUUAAAAAUAUUUUAUAUAUUAUUUAUGAUUUUAUAUAUAUGUUAUUUUAAUUAAUUAUUCCUGUGUUGGCAAAGCUGAAUUUUCAGCAGCCAUGACUCCAGUCUUCAGUGUCACAUGAUCCCUCAGGAAUCAUUCUAAUAUGCUGAUUUGCUGCUCAAGCUUAUUAUUAUCAGUGUUUAAAAAAAAAUAAAAUAAAAAAAUAAAAAACAAAGCUGUGUUGUUUAACCUUUUGUUUAAACUGUGAAACUUUUUUUUUUCAGGAAACUUAAUUUAACAUAACAUUUAAAAGAAUGUGAUUUAAAUAAAAAAAUUUUUUGUAACAAUAUAAAAAAUCCUAACUGUCCCUUUUGAUCAAUUCAGUGCAUCCUUGCUGAAUAAAAUUAUACAUUUCUAAAAUAUAUUUAAUAUGUAUAAAAAAAAAAUCGGCAGUGUAUCUUUCCCAGUGUCUGUGGUGGUUACAGCCAAGCAAUUAUCUGCAACAAAUCAGCAAAAUGAGCAGAUAUUACCCUAAAAGCUCAGUAGAACAGGUCAAAGCUUAUUUUCGAUUAUGUUGUCCUCUGUGGUUUUGGCGAUGGCAUCUUUGCUUGGCUCUCUUGCUAGGACACUGUAAAUGAGCCUAAGCGAAGAUCUUCGAAAAUGACUUUUGCAGUAAAAUCUGAUGCCUCUCUCCAAGGAUUUCCAUACAAUUUCCAUGUUCCUUUCAGAAAAGCAAAUUAAGACCAUGCAUUGCUGGAUACAGAAGAUAGUUUGCUGCUCUUGUACAUACAAAACACUCACGCUAAAAUCAUGGUGACCGUGAUUUUACCAAGUAUACACAACAUGUUCCUGGAUCAACAUCCUUGUUGAUCCUGGAACAACAUUCCAAUUAACCAGUCAGAACUGAGAGAUAUCUUUUCAGGAAAUAUUAGGCUUACGAUCAGGGUUAGGUGCUUCUACACCCUUGUUAAUCAGCUAUCAUUUCACACUGAUUUUAGGAAUAAAUUAUGGGUAAGGUUAGAUUUAGGGGUAGGGAUUGGGUUUAGUCUAUAUUUUUGAACAGUAAUAUUGAUCCAGGAUCAACAAAAGAUGUUGAUCCAGGAACAUGUCUUACUUGCCAAAAUCACAAAACGUCCCUCAACAAACAGUCGAAUAAGCGAUACAAAAACAUGCAAUAGAUAUGCGUGCCAAGGCCGACCAGAGCAGAUCAAGACGAAAUGUUGUUACAGGCCGUGCUUCACAAACAUUUGGAUUUACAAGCAUUUGCAUUGAACUUGAGGCGAUUUGCUUAUCUACUUGAAUGUCUUGGAAAUGUUGCGAACAAAGUAGAACGAAAAACGAGAGCUGAAACGCAGGAGCAAAGCGAGGAGGUCAGGACUGUACCAUUGUUUGGAUCCAUGUAAAUAAUCCCUUUGAAUAAAUAGCACAAGCGCAACAUGGCUUGGCUUCGAUAUGAACUUCUGAAAGUGAUAUUCACUGGUACUCUGUUUCACAAUUCACACGCUCCACUUCUUGUCACUUCGUCUGAUUACUUUAUGAACCUGUCAUGAAAGGGGGAGGUGAGAUUUUCAGCAUCGUUUGUUUAAGGGGCGACACUCUUGAUAUACUCAGCUGUUGUGUAUUUUUUGGAGAAUACAGUGAGUGGCCUUUGCACAUGUGGUGAAACACUGACAGAGAGGGGUAAGUGAAAGGAAGGAGAAAAGCAAAACAUCCCACAGGUGUUAAUGAUAUAAACCUGCCUGACAAGGUUCCACCAUGGAAACCUAGAGGAUGAUGGUAGUUUGUGUGUGAGUGUGUGUGAGCAGACACAACUUCAACUGCCCGCAUUGACUUCAUCAGCUGUCAGCUUAGCAAACAUGGUAAUUAAGAGCCGCAAAUUUGACAAAAGCUUCUGUGCUACACAUUUCUUAUUAUAUUACAAGUUGCCUUGCAGGAAUUCCACACAAAAGCUGCUGGUACUGAAAUGAGGGCAACAAAAUUGGGAUCCUGCCCCUUUCGUUCAUGCAUUGCUGAAAGCCAAUGGAAAAUUUUCAGUGUGCCAUUUAUUUCAUAUGUCAAAAUAAACCUGUGGACUUGUGACUUCUCUUCGGUUUAAUCUGUAUGUUAAAAGUGCAGCGUCUUGCAGCACGGCAAUGGCCAGUGUGUUGAGUAACUGAGGCGACAAAGUCAACAGAUCGAAAGAUGGGUUUGCUCUGCACCUGGGGAGCAAUGAGUGUAAGAGGGGGGAAAAGGUGUUAGUCGGAACAAUGACGUGGCCUGCUCAAUUUGAAAUGUCCUC